Molecule: ribosomal RNA, 116 nt
Filed under: uncultured archaeon
Lineage: Archaea
Description: partial 16S rRNA
Rfam family: Archaeal small subunit ribosomal RNA
Source: RNAcentral
UAGCAAGGGCCGGGCAAGACCGGUGCCAGCCGCCGCGGUAACACCGGCGGCCUGAGUGGUGAUCGUGAUUAUUGGGUCUAAAGGGUCCGUAGCCGGUUUGGUCAGUCCUCCGGGAU